AGCGAACGCUGGCGGCAGGCUUAACACAUGCAAGUCGAACGGGUCCCGGAUCUAGGUCCGGGAUCAGUGGCAGACGGGUGAGUAACACGUGGGAACGUGCCCAUCGGUUCGGAACAACUCCGGGAAACUGGAGCUAAUACCGGAUACGACCGAGAGGUGAAAGAUUUAUCGCCGAUGGAUCGGCCCGCGUCUGAUUAGCUAGUUGGUGAGGUAACGGCUCACCAAGGCGACGAUCAGUAGCUGGUCUGAGAGGAUGAUCAGCCACACUGGGACUGAGACACGGCCCAGACUCCUACGGGAGGCAGCAGUGGGGAAUAUUGGACAAUGGGCGAAAGCCUGAUCCAAGCCAUGCCGCGUGAGUGAUGAAGGCCUUAGGGUU
Molecule: ribosomal RNA, 379 nt
Filed under: uncultured bacterium
Lineage: Bacteria
Description: bacterial SSU rRNA
Rfam family: Bacterial small subunit ribosomal RNA
Source: RNAcentral